AUUGAACGCUAGCGGCAUGCCUUACACAUGCAAGUCGAACGAGUGGCGGACGGGUGAGUAAUAUAUGGGAACCUGCCCAGUAGAGGGGGAUAACUACUGGAAAGGGUGGCUAAUACCGCAUACUAUCGGAUGAGCCGAUAUCGGAUUAGCUAGUUGGUGGGGUAAAGGCUCACCAAGGCGACGAUCCCUAGCUGGUCUGAGAGGAUGACCAGCCACACUGGGACUGAGACACGGCCCAGACUCCUACGGCAGGCAGCAGUGGGGAAUAUUGGACAAUGGGGGCAAGCCUGAUGCAGCCAUGCCGCGUGUAUGAAGAAGGCCUUCGGGUUGUAAAGUACUUUCAGCGGGGAGGCGUUACCCGCAGAAGAAGCACCGGCUAACUACGUGCCAGCAGCCGCGGUAAUAC
RNAcentral lists this ribosomal RNA (406 nucleotides) under uncultured bacterium. RNAcentral's name for it is "partial 16S ribosomal RNA". It matches the Rfam family "Bacterial small subunit ribosomal RNA", at positions 30 to 526 of the family's 1533-position model. The record is from RNAcentral.